UACGGAGGGAGCUAGCGUUGUUCGGAAUUACUGGGCGUAAAGCGCGCGUAGGCGGCUUUGUAAGUUAGAGGUGAAAGCCCGGGGCUCAACCCCGGAAUUGCCUUUAAGACUGCAUCGCUUGAAUCCGGGAGAGGUGAGUGGAAUUCCGAGUGUAGAGGUGAAAUUUGUAGAUAUUCGGAAGAACACCAGUGGCGAAGGCGGCUCACUGGACCGGCAUUGACGCUGAGGUGCGAAAGCGUGGGGAGCAAACAGG
RNAcentral lists this ribosomal RNA (253 nucleotides) under uncultured bacterium. RNAcentral describes it as "partial 16S ribosomal RNA". It matches the Rfam family "Bacterial small subunit ribosomal RNA", at positions 524 to 776 of the family's 1533-position model. The record is from RNAcentral.